Molecule: ribosomal RNA, 242 nt
Filed under: uncultured bacterium
Lineage: Bacteria
Description: partial 16S ribosomal RNA
Rfam family: Bacterial small subunit ribosomal RNA
Source: RNAcentral
CGUCGAGCGGCGGACGGGUGAGUAACGCGUAGGAAUCUACCCAGUAGCGGGGGAUAGCCCGGGGAAACCCGGAUUAACACCGCAUACGCCCCACGGGGGAAAGCAGGGGAUCUUCGGACCUUGCACUAUUGGAUGAGCCUGCGUUGGAUUAGCUAGUUGGUGGGGUAAAGGCCUACCAAGGCGACGAUCCAUAGCUGGUCUGAGAGGAUGAUCAGCCACACUGGGACUGAGACACGGCCCAG